CAACGCUGUCAUUUGAAUAGCGGUAAAUACAAAUUCUGAAGUUUCACAAAUGUAAGAAACCCGUGGAUUUGUGUACCUUCAAGGAGUUUUGAGAAGCUUUUUAAUACCAGCUGUUAUACCCGAUACAACUGGAUGACAGGAUCGACAAAGGAAAUGGACCGUCUACAGCAAGGUGACCUUCAGCAUCAGACAGGGGCCCCGCCGGCUCUCACACCAGCCUCCCCCCUUUACAUGCCAUCAUUUAUUAAUGGAAACAGAGGAGCGUUGGGGGCCGUUAAUAUCCGUUAAUGUUAAGAGGCUGCGGAAGGGGAAGAGGUUCCUCCCUCUGAG
This is a long non-coding RNA of Eleginops maclovinus (Patagonian blennie), 330 nucleotides long. RefSeq lists it as uncharacterized. The transcript is spliced from 4 exons. Lineage: Eukaryota; Metazoa; Chordata; Actinopteri; Perciformes; Eleginopidae. The record is from RefSeq and is a predicted model, not a curated record.